This 234-nucleotide ribosomal RNA is filed under the name uncultured Staphylococcus sp. RNAcentral describes it as "partial 16S ribosomal RNA". It matches the Rfam family "Bacterial small subunit ribosomal RNA", at positions 106 to 334 of the family's 1533-position model. Lineage: Bacteria; Bacillati; Bacillota; Bacilli; Caryophanales; Staphylococcaceae. The record is from RNAcentral.
GUGAGUAACACGUGGAUAACCUACCUAUAAGACUGGGAUAACUUCGGGAAACCGGAGCUAAUACCGGAUAAUAUAUUGAACCGCAUGGUUCAAUAGUGAAAGACGGUUUUGCUGUCACUUAUAGAUGGAUCCGCGCCGCAUUAGCUAGUUGGUAAGGUAACGGCUUAACAAGGCAACGAUGCGUAGCCGACCUGAGAGGGUGAUCGGCCACACUGGAACUGAGACACGGUCCAG